Molecule: ribosomal RNA, 459 nt
Filed under: uncultured bacterium
Lineage: Bacteria
Description: partial 16S ribosomal RNA
Rfam family: Bacterial small subunit ribosomal RNA
Source: RNAcentral
CCUACGGGUGGCAGCAGUGAGGAAUAUUGGUCAAUGGGCGGGAGCCUGAACCAGCCAAGUCGCGUGAGGGACGACGGUCCUAUGGAUUGUAAACCUCUUUUGUCGGGGAACAAAGGCGCCCACGGGUGGGCGGAUGAGUGUACCCGAAGAAAAAGCAUCGGCUAACUCCGUGCCAGCAGCCGCGGUAAUACGGAGGAUGCGAGCGUUAUCCGGAUUUAUGGGGGUUAAAGGGUGCGUAGGCGGACAGUCAAGUCAGCGGGAAAAAUGCGGUGCUAAACGCCGUACAGCCGUUGAAACUGGGUGUCUUGAGUGGGCGAGAGGUAUGCGGAAUGCGUGGUGUAGCGGUGAAAUGCGUAGAUAUCACGAGGAACACCGGUUGCGAAGGCAGCAUACCGGAGGCCUACUGACGCUGAGGCACGAAAGCGUGGGUAGCGAACAGGAUUAGAUACCCCGGUAGUC